GACGAACGCUGGCGGCGCGCCUAACACAUGCAAGUCGAACGGAGUUAGUUUCAGCAGAAGCUUUCGGGUGGACGCAGGGAUAACUUAGUGGCGAACGGGUGAGUAACACGUGAGGAACCUGCCCUGGAGUGGGGGAUAACAGUUGGAAACGACUGCUAAUACCGCAUAAGCCCACAGCACCGCAUGGUGCAGCGGGAAAAGGAGCAAUUCGCUUCAGGAUGGCCUCGCGUCCAAUUAGGUAGUUGGCAGGGUGAUAGCCUACCAAGGCGACGAUCGGUAGCCGACCUGAGAGGGUGAUCGGCCACAUUGGAACUGAGAUACGGUCCAA
This 328-nucleotide ribosomal RNA is filed under the name uncultured bacterium. RNAcentral's name for it is "bacterial SSU rRNA". It matches the Rfam family "Bacterial small subunit ribosomal RNA", at positions 28 to 334 of the family's 1533-position model. The record is from RNAcentral.